AGAUUCUCUCCCCCCCAGUGGCACAGAGAGGCACAUGGAGCAAUCACUCGGAGCUCUAGGACUGCGGCAGGCAGGGAGCCCGGCAGAGGGUCCCAUUGGGCUGCUGGCUGGGAGCUGCCUAGGCUGCAUAAAAAGCACUAGUGAAGCAAGGGCAAAUUAAACUUUCUGACAAGGACUUGUUCAUGCUGCUCUAUAUACUGUACACUGAAAUGAUUUGCUUUAAAACUGGGGAAGUCACAAGGCCAGCCAAGCUUGACGUCCCCUGCACACGCACGAGCAAACAGACACAGAUGUCUUCUUCAGAGGGUGUGAGCGCCACCAAAAACUUCAGCAUUCCGAAAGCGAGAGAAGAAAAGCCAAAAUGGGAGAAGCCUGCCUGCCUGCCUGCCGUGCUAGGAGCCCAAGCACAACAGCGUAAGAACCAAAGGAAAAUCCAACGGUGAGUUGCAACUGAACAGUCUCAUUCUACAGUGCCAAGAAAGAAAUAUAGACACUGAAAAUGUUAGAUCGCUACAACUGAAAGAAUGUUAAAUAUCUAAUUUAGUCGAAGAAGUGACGAGUAACUCAGAG
Non-coding RNA from Pelodiscus sinensis (Chinese soft-shelled turtle), 570 nucleotides. NCBI's taxonomy places the organism in Eukaryota, Metazoa, Chordata, Testudines, Trionychidae. The record is from RefSeq and is a predicted model, not a curated record.